Molecule: long non-coding RNA, 1866 nt
Organism: Cheilinus undulatus (humphead wrasse)
Lineage: Eukaryota; Metazoa; Chordata; Actinopteri; Labriformes; Labridae
Exons: 5
Source: RefSeq, a predicted model, not a curated record
UAUCAGAAAUUGUGAUUUUGAACGCGUUUUUAUCGGUUAUUGCUUUAACACUGUUGGAGAACAAUUAAUUUUGGAGGUUUUUUAUUGUUUCUCUGAAAGCUUUUAUGGAAAACAACAGCAUGUAACCGUCUGAAGUUUAGUCAUUAUUUGUGCUACUUUAAAGAGGAGGUGACAAAGGUGACAAACUCUUUUAGCCCUUAGAGGAUGCUUCAAGUUCAAAGAAGUGUAUCUAACCAGUCCAUGUACUAAAUAAGACCAAGCAUCAACCCACCUGUACCAUAAUGGGCCGACGUACAGGUGGAGACACAGGAGGGGGCGGACAGGUGGGAGGGAGAGCAGACGAUGUGGAUCCAUGCGUAGAAAAGCACAAAGUAAAAGAAGUUGAAGAAACCCAGAAGAAAGAGCAGAGCACAGUACAAGUGAGAGGAGAUGCAGCCCACAGGGAGAGGAGCAAGAAUGGAAGUGGGAAAUAGGACUACGGAAGGGCCUGGCUUUGAAUGGAGGCAACUUGGAAGAAUGAAUACCAAUAACCCUAGUGGAAGAAGAUUGAAGACUUGCUGAUCAUAAAAGAGGGCCAUUAAAGUGAUUUUCUACCCAGAGACGACCUGUUCUGAGUCUGUCCAGCAUGACAGCAGGUCACAUUUGUGUUUGUGACAGCACCACGCGCUCCAGCGCUGAACACAGUGGAAAGGAACAGCAAACAAUGAACCAAAAGACGUGACCUUCAGGAAGAGGAGGGGGCUUCGGAUGCUGUAACUACAAAACAAAUCAAAUACAGGAGCACAAAGUCAGAUUUGGAGAGGGCAAAGGGGCAUCUUGUGCAUGCUGAGCUACAAAUGGUGCUUUGUCAGGAGAGUGCUGACAAAGACCACUGCGUCCUUCUGGUGCAAAAGUGGAAGUGACCAAAGAACAGCUGAACCUGUGGGAGGACGUUACAGGACGACAUCCAGAGAGGCAAGCACAAAUUUUUUUUAUUUAUUUUAAGGAAGAAAGUUGUUCCUUGAAAAAUGUCCUUUUAUCUUGAUUUAUGAGAGAAUUUCUCACAUUUAUUCAACUUAAACAGCCAUUUUCUAAUUACAUUUGUACAUAAAUCACACCCAAAAUAAUAGAAAUUAUUACUUACAGCUUUUUCUUUUCUCUUCAGUGUUUCAGUUUACAAAAAUAUCCAUGACUGAUCGGCUCUUCUAACCAUGUGGUUGUAAAAGAUCGCAAUUUUAUCAUUGUUUUAUACCAAUUAUUAUUAUUCAUUAUUUUAUACCAAUUAUUUUACAUCCAUGUAGUAACAAUAUCAUACAGAAUAAUGAUAUCUAUGGAAGCCCUAAGAGGACCUGUAUGUUGGACUGCAACAAACAAGUAUUUUAAUCAUCCAUUCAUCAGAUGAUUGUUUUCCCGAUUCUUCUGUGAAUUGGAUGCAUUAUUUUCAAAUAUCAUUAAUAAGAUGAAAGUCAGAAAAAAACUAAUGUUCUAACAGGGUUUUUAUGACAAGGCGCUAUUUUUAGACCGCCACCGUCUCCUCUCCAUCGUGAAAAAAGGUCACUGAUCAAUAUUUCUCCCAAUUAUUCUUGCUAAUAAUCAGAUUAUUAUCAAAGAAGUACUAAGUAAAAGAACAGUUUAGCAACUGUCUUGGUGUGACAUUAAUUAUCAGCUUUUGUCAACUUUAUAGAUUUGUUGUUUCAGCCCUACCUGUGUCCAUACUGUUUAUUUUGCUCUAUUUUCCUGUGAUAAUCAGUAUACUUUGUUUUUUCAUGAUCACAACUUAUUCAUCUUGUAUCUCAGGAUGACAAUGCUGAUUUUCCAAAGAUUAUGAGUUAAUGUCAGCAGUUUUCUUUAGAUCUUGAGAAAUGUACUAGUUUUCUCAAAACAAUA